UAGGGAAUCUUCGGCAAUGGGGGGAACCCUGACCGAGCAACGCCGCGUGAGUGAAGAAGGUUUUCGGAUCGUAAAGCUCUGUUGUUAAGGAAGAACGAGUGUGAGAAUGGAAAGUUCAUGCUGUGACGGUACUUAACCAGAAAGGGACGGCUAACUACGUGCCAGCAGCCGCGGUAAUACGUAGGUCCCGAGCGUUGUCCGGAUUUAUUGGGCGUAAAGCGAGCGCAGGCGGUUAGAAAAGUCUGAAGUGAAAGGCAGUGGCUCAACCAUUGUAGGCUUUGGAAACUGUUUAACUUGAGUGCAGAAGGGGAGAGUGGAAUUCCAUGUGUAGCGGUGAAAUGCGUAGAUAUAUGGAGGAACACCGGUGGCGAAAGCGGCUCUCUGGUCUGUAACUGACGCUGAGGCUCGAAAGCGUGGGGUGCGAACAGG
Molecule: ribosomal RNA, 429 nt
Filed under: Bacteroidota bacterium
Lineage: Bacteria; Pseudomonadati; Bacteroidota
Description: Bacteroidetes bacterium partial 16S ribosomal RNA
Rfam family: Bacterial small subunit ribosomal RNA
Source: RNAcentral